Molecule: long non-coding RNA, 1505 nt
Filed under: Homo sapiens (human)
Lineage: Eukaryota; Metazoa; Chordata; Mammalia; Primates; Hominidae
Description: HSALNT0025168
Source: RNAcentral
GUGGUGUAGCAGGAGAACAUCGGACUGAGACCCAUGUGACCUGCGGCAGGUCAUUUUCCCACUCUCCACAUUGAUUACAAUAGCUCUCUGGAGGGUUGAAUGAGGCAAAGAUGUGUGCGAGAGUGUUCUGUGUCCUUGAAAACAUCUUUGAGAAAGGAGAAAUGUGAGUUCCUAUUGACAAUCAUGGAUUAUGUACCAGGUAACAUGUAUUAACUCCUAUUAGCCUCCCAGCAACCCUACAGAGUUUUACUGCUAUUUACUCCCAAGAAAAUUGAGGUACUAAGAAGUUAAGUAACUUGUAUGAGGUUACCAAGGAACCAGGGCUGGAACCCUCUGGCUGCAGAAAUAUUUAUUUUAACUCUUAGCUCUAUCAAAACAAUCACAAGGCACCCAGACCAUCAGCCAAAACAAAACUAGGACUAUUCAGUAACCAGGAGACAGAAAGGACUGGAAAAAAAGAGUGUGUGAUGUCUCCUCCUCUUCCCUUUCAUAGACAACGGUUAACUCAUUGCCUGCCGGCUGGCCAGCUGCUUUAUUUCACCUGAGUGUGUUUUUCAAAGCAACUUGAAGAUUUUAAACAGCAUUACACUAUAAUGGAAUAGUUGGCUAUCCAACAGAGCCUAAUCAUUAUAUAAUGUACUUUUACUGCUGUGAUUAUUUAAAAAAGAGAGAGAGAGAGAAAGAGAAAGAAGGAAGAAACAAUGAGAGAGAAAAUCUGAGUAAACACAGCUGAGCUCUUGGUUAAUCUGCUAACCCGAACUCCGAAAGCUUCGUGACUGGAGUUUACUUCAGUGGAAGUGACAGGCUGGACAGAAGAAUGCCAGCACCACAUAGGAUGGCAGGCAAGUACAGUGAUGUCUCUGGGCCUCCUAGGAGGCUGUGGAAGUUAGGUGCAGUUUUUCUUAUGAUGACCAUUUGGACUCUGGCGCCUUGAUACGGUGUCAUCAAUAAGUAGCAAGAUCCUGGAGAGAAACACCUGAAAUGGAAGCCGGAACGUAGACCACAGUCAAAAUUAAGUUUAUGGAAAAUAAAGAAAUGUAAAAAAAAGUUAUUUAUGUAAGUUUUGGAACAAGAUUGAUACUUGCUACGUAACUUCCAUUUGUGGAGCCCUUAUUGCAAGCCUGACAUGUUGCUGAAGUCUCCUCCUCAUGAGGUUCUUUUUCUUUUUCUGUCUUUUUUUUUUUUUUUGAGACAGGUUCUCACUUUGUCCCUCAGGCUGGAGUGCAGUGGUGCAAUCAUAACUCACUACAGCCUCGACCUCCCGGGCUCAAGCAAACCUCCCACCUCAGCUUCCCAAUUGGCUGGGAUUGCAGAUGCAUGCCACCAUGACUAGCUAAUUUUUGGGUUUUUUUGUAGAGACAAGGUCUCCCUAUGUUGCCGAGGCUGGUCUUGAACUCCUGGGCUCAAGCAGUCCUUUCACCUGGGCCUCCCAAAGUGCUGGGAUUACAGGUGUGAGCCUCCAUGCCCAACAGAUUAUUUUUUUAAGUUCUCACAGUGUUAUGAGG